AAGCUUGCUUCCACUGAGAAGAUAGUGGCGAACGGGUGAGUAACAACGUGGGUAACCUGCCCAUAAGAGGGGGGAUAACAUCCGGAAACGGGUGCUAAUACCGCAUAGUUUUCUUGAUCGCAUGAUCGGAAGGAAAGACGGCCUUUGUGCUGUCGCUUAUGGAUGGACCCGCGGCGUAUUAGUUAGUUGGUGAGGUAACGGCUCACCAAGACGAUGAUACGUAGCCGACCUGAGAGGGUGAUCGGCCACAUUGGGACUGAGACACGGCCCAAACUCCUACGGGAGGCAGCAGUAGGGAAUCUUCCGCAAUGGACGAAAGUCUGACGGAGCAACGCCGCGUGAGUGAAGAAAAGGUUUUCGGAUCGUAAAACUCUGUUGUCAGAGAAGAACAAGUUGGAGAGUAACUGCUCCAGCCUUGACGGUAUCUGACCAGAAAGCCACGGCUAACUACGUGCCAGCCGCCGC
This 465-nucleotide ribosomal RNA is filed under the name uncultured bacterium. Its description in RNAcentral is "bacterial SSU rRNA". It matches the Rfam family "Bacterial small subunit ribosomal RNA", at positions 64 to 518 of the family's 1533-position model. The record is from RNAcentral.